Small nuclear RNA from Crocodylus porosus (Australian saltwater crocodile), 153 nucleotides. Its record names the gene U1. It matches the Rfam family "U1 spliceosomal RNA". From Rfam's summary of the family: U1 is a small nuclear RNA (snRNA) component of the spliceosome (involved in pre-mRNA splicing). Its 5' end forms complementary base pairs with the 5' splice junction, thus defining the 5' donor site of an intron. NCBI's taxonomy places the organism in Eukaryota, Metazoa, Chordata, Crocodylia, Crocodylidae. The record is from Ensembl.
GUGCUCUCAGCAGGGGAGAUACAGGUUUCCCCAGGCUAAGGCCUGUCUGUUGCACUCCAUUCAGGCAUCAUGACCCCUGCAAGUUUCCCAAAUGUGAGAAACUCAACUGCACAGUCUUGUGGUGAUGGGGGACUGCAUUUGAGCUUUUCCCCG